RNAcentral lists this ribosomal RNA (73 nucleotides) under Ignatzschineria cameli. RNAcentral's name for it is "partial 16S ribosomal RNA". It matches the Rfam family "Bacterial small subunit ribosomal RNA", at positions 1 to 67 of the family's 1533-position model. The record is from RNAcentral. Lineage: Bacteria; Pseudomonadati; Pseudomonadota; Gammaproteobacteria; Cardiobacteriales; Ignatzschineriaceae.
AAGAUUAAACUGAAGAGUUUGAUCCUGGCUCAGAUUGAACGCUGGCGGUAUGCUUAACACAUGCAAGUCGAAC